Non-coding RNA from Lamprotornis superbus, 70 nucleotides. The record is from the annotation of a GenBank genome assembly. NCBI's taxonomy places the organism in Eukaryota, Metazoa, Chordata, Aves, Passeriformes, Sturnidae.
GAAUUAGCUCAGCUGGUUAGAGCAUGGUGCUAAUAACACCAAGGUUGUGGUUUUGAUCCCCGUAUGGGCG